RNAcentral lists this ribosomal RNA (390 nucleotides) under uncultured bacterium. RNAcentral's name for it is "bacterial SSU rRNA". It matches the Rfam family "Bacterial small subunit ribosomal RNA", at positions 8 to 406 of the family's 1533-position model. The record is from RNAcentral.
AGAGUUUGAUCCUGGCUCAGAUUGAACGCUGGCGGCAUGCCUAACACAUGCAAAUCGAACGGGUUGUACUUCGGUACAGCUAGUGGCGGACGGGUGAGUAACACAUAGGAAUCUGCCCGAGAGUGGGGGAUAACCCAGGGAAACUUGGAUUAAUACCGCAUGAUCUCUAUGGAGCAAGGCUGGGGACCUUCGGGCCUGGCGCUUUUGGAGGAGCCUAUGUCUGAUUAGCUUGUUGGUGAGGUAACGGCUCACCAAGGCGACGAUCAGUAACUGGUCUGAGAGGACGACCAGUCACACCGGAACUGAGACACGGUCCGGACUCCUACGGGAGGCAGCAGUGGGGAAUAUUGGACAAUGGGCGAAAGCCUGAUCCAGCAAUGCCGCGUGUGU